RNAcentral lists this long non-coding RNA (302 nucleotides) under Actinidia chinensis (golden kiwifruit). RNAcentral's name for it is "long non-coding RNA (ACHI_LNC003298)". Lineage: Eukaryota; Viridiplantae; Streptophyta; Magnoliopsida; Ericales; Actinidiaceae. The record is from RNAcentral.
CUAGUGGUGGUGGUUGGCUUCACAGAGGCAUAUUAUCAUACACUUGCAGCGUAUACAUAAUCAACUAAUACAACUAAAUCAAAAUAAAAGAGAACCCAUGAGUCAUUUAGAGUUGAUCAAAAUUAAAUAGACAACAACAUUCGAGUUACAACAAACCUGUAAAUCCUCUGUUUUCUUCAAGGGUUGCAUUUUGAAAUCGGCUGAGAGAGAAAGAGGUGUGAUGUUUUAAAAUCUACAGAAUUUUAAAAAGAGAGGGGAGAGACCAAAGCAGAGAGAGAGGUGGCAUGUGAGAGAUGGACUGA